RNAcentral lists this unclassified non-coding RNA (303 nucleotides) under plant metagenome. RNAcentral's name for it is "partial contains 5.8S ribosomal RNA, internal transcribed spacer 2, and large subunit ribosomal RNA". The stretch from base 1 to 105 matches the Rfam family "5.8S ribosomal RNA", at positions 50 to 154 of the family's 154-position model. The record is from RNAcentral.
GAAAUGCGAUAAGUAAUGUGAAUUGCAGAAUUCCGUGAAUCAUCGAAUCUUUGAACGCACAUUGCGCCCCCUGGCAUUCCGGGGGGCAUGCCUGUCCGAGCGUCAUUUCUGCCCUCAAGCACGGCUUGUGUGUUGGGUGUGGUCCCCCCGGGGACCUGCCCGAAAGGCAGCGGCGACGUCCGUCUGGUCCUCGAGCGUAUGGGGCUCUGUCACUCGCUCGGGAAGGACCUGCGGGGGUUGGUCACCACCAUAUUUCACCACGGUUGACCUCGGAUCAGGUAGGGAUACCCGCUGAACUUAAGC